UUAAAAUUGAAAUUAAUUGUGUAUCCACUUCCUUUAAUCAAGCAAUCAUGAGGCUUUAUUGUGUAUCUUGUUGCAGGGGCGGGUGGGAAGGCCCCACGGAAAACACUUUGUGACCUUCGUGUGGCCACUCGGCAGGGCUCUGGGACAAAAGACAUUUCUCCAAGCUUAGGAAGCACCUCUCCUCCCCAGCAGAGAGCAGCCUUUUAUGCGGACAUGUCUGGAACUCUCCAAACCACCAAGCCAUCACUGUCCUAACACAUAGUAUUUACUGAAUACUUACUAUGGCCUCGGUGCAGGGGUUUUCCUGGGACUUUUCUCUUCUGAUCCCCACAACAAUCCAGUUGGGUUAAGUACCAUUAUUAUCUGUGUUACAGAGGGGGCAGUGGAGCUUCAGAGGCGCUAGCUAGCCAGUCCAAAGCCACCGUGAGGUUUCCAGAGUCCGUUUCAGUGCUGUGGCUCAAGGAACGAACAUUAGAGCCAUGGAAAAGCAGCAGAUCACUUGGUUUCCAGUCUCCUCGCCGAAGUCUUCCAGAGAAAGCAGCCUCAGCUGCAUUCACCAGAGUCUCUCUUGGCCUUACAUCCCAAUCACCUUUACCCUCUCUCUCUCCUUUUCUCCACUGCACACCCCUCCCCCGCUUCCCUUCAGCUUUGCUUUCCUGCUCUCUGUCUUUCUUUCCACAGGCAUGUGAUUGUUUAGAGCUUCUCCAUGUCAGCUCUGGCCGGCUCACAAAGAGAUCUUAUAGCUAUGAGCAUCGACGUAUAAGUUUUUGUGUACACUAUACACUGAGGAAUGGAACUGCUGGGUCAUCUAGUCACUAUACGUCCAGCCUUUUGAGGAAUGAGCACUGCUUUUCACAACGGCUGUACCAUUUUACCCUCCCACGGGCAACGUAUGAAGGUGUGGAGUUCUCCAUAUUCUCCACAGCACUUAACAGAUCUGCUUGACCAGACGACAAACCCAGCACCUUCUCAGGCAGCCCUCGGAUGGCUGGUGGUGUUGAAGAAUUUCUGUGUUACAAAAUUCUGCGUUAAGAAAGGUAAGGUAUUAUGUUGCUAUUUGGGCUUGGUUCUUUUCUCUGAGAAAAUCAGGGCAAGUCAUCCACUUCCCCCAGAGACUCAGGACAGGUACCAUGGCGGCCUCAGGCUUCUUUUUCUCAGUUCAAUGUCCACACACCAUCACUGUUUCUGGCCUGACCUGCAGGCCUCUUCUACAAGUGCCAGGACAGGGACUUUUAAAUGUUCUUUUAGGAGCAGAACCCUGUUUUCUCUCUCACGACCCUGAGGUCAUGACCUGAGCCAAAAUCAAAAGUUGGAUGCUUAACUUACUGAUCCCCCCAGGCACCCCCAGAACGCUGUUUUCAAAUGAAAUCUCACGAAGAGCCCAACAUACAAGAUACAAGUGGGGUUGUUCUUGUUGAGAAUGAACAGGGAGAGUAGAAUCUUCCUGCAGAGAGGCUCACCCCCAAACCCCUCGCCAGAGCUGGAGAAGCCCAGCUUGCAAACCACUGUCCUGGUUUGCUCCUUGCAAA
This 1529-nucleotide long non-coding RNA is filed under the name Mustela putorius furo (domestic ferret). RNAcentral's name for it is "lncRNA (ENSMPUG00000024014.1)". Lineage: Eukaryota; Metazoa; Chordata; Mammalia; Carnivora; Mustelidae. The record is from RNAcentral.